AUGGACAUGAGGGACCCCUCUCAGCUCCUGGGGCUUCUUCUGCUUUGGUUUUCAGGUGUGAGAUGUUACAUCGUAAUGACUCAAUCACCAUCCUUGCUGUCUGCAUCUCUGCGUGACAGAGUCACCAUCAAAUGCAAGACCAGUUACUACAUUGGUAGUUGGUUAUAUUGGUAUCAAGAGAAACCAGGGGAAAAUCCUAAAAUCCUGAUCUUUGAUGCAUCCUCUCCAGCAACUGGGAUCCCAUCAAGGUUCAGAGGGAGUGGAUCUGGUACAGAUUUCACCCUCACCAUCAGCAGCCUGGAGUCUGAAGACAUUUCCACUUACUACUGUCUGCAGCAUUAUGAUACCCCUCCCACAGUGGUUCAAGCCAUAACGUAA
Nannospalax galili (Upper Galilee mountains blind mole rat) is the source of this 378-nucleotide non-coding RNA. NCBI's taxonomy places the organism in Eukaryota, Metazoa, Chordata, Mammalia, Rodentia, Spalacidae. The record is from the annotation of a RefSeq genome assembly.